Molecule: transfer RNA, 75 nt
Filed under: Phrynosoma platyrhinos (Desert horned lizard)
Lineage: Eukaryota; Metazoa; Chordata; Lepidosauria; Squamata; Phrynosomatidae
Description: tRNA-OTHER
Source: RNAcentral
GGAACUAGUGUGAUAUAGUGGUUUGAAUGUUAGACUAUGAGUCUGGAGACCAGGGUUCGAAUCCCUACUUGGCCA